This 229-nucleotide long non-coding RNA is filed under the name Sorghum bicolor (sorghum). Its description in RNAcentral is "long non-coding RNA (SBIC_LNC013413)". The record is from RNAcentral. Lineage: Eukaryota; Viridiplantae; Streptophyta; Magnoliopsida; Poales; Poaceae.
AACCAGGUCAAGGAUGUAAUGUGCACGAUUUAAAAGUUGAGGGAUGUAUUUUGUCCGGUUUUAGAGUUCAGGGAUGAAAAUCAGACUUUCGCGAAAGUUGAGGGACCUAGAGUAGACUUUUUCCUUUUCGUUUUGUUAUGCAGAUACAUGCAAAAUGAAGGCCUCCUACCAAAAAUUUAAAAAAAAUGCAAUUAUAUACCCCUACGGACGUAUUUAAUACUCAGACAAA